Molecule: ribosomal RNA, 253 nt
Filed under: uncultured bacterium
Lineage: Bacteria
Description: partial 16S ribosomal RNA
Rfam family: Bacterial small subunit ribosomal RNA
Source: RNAcentral
CACGUAGGGCGCAAGCGUUGUCCGGAAUUAUUGGGCGUAAAGAGCUCGUAGGCGGUCUGUUGCGUCCGCUGUGAAAACCCGGGGCUUAACCCCUGGCUUGCAGUGGAUACGGACAGACUAGAGGUAGGUAGGGGAGAAUGGAAUUUCCGGUGGAGCGGUGAAAUGCGUAGAGAUCGGAAAAAACACCAACGGCGAAAGCACUCUGCUGGGCCGACACUGACACUGAGAGACGAAAGCUAGGGGAGCGAAUGGG